This is a small nuclear RNA of Paramisgurnus dabryanus, 116 nucleotides long. RefSeq annotates it as U5 spliceosomal RNA. NCBI's taxonomy places the organism in Eukaryota, Metazoa, Chordata, Actinopteri, Cypriniformes, Cobitidae. The record is from RefSeq and is a predicted model, not a curated record.
UAACUCAAGUCUUCCUUCAACUACGCAUAAAUCUCUCGCCUUUUACUAAAGAUUUCCGUGGAGGGGGACCAGUGUGAGUUUGUUGUAUUUUUGGAUGCUCUGCUGACUGCAGAGCU